AGUUAUAUAGUUUAAUAAAAAUAUUAAUUUUGUAAAUUAAAGAUAAAAAUUUUUAUAACUG
Molecule: transfer RNA, 61 nt
Filed under: Snellenius radicalis
Lineage: Eukaryota; Metazoa; Arthropoda; Insecta; Hymenoptera; Braconidae
Description: tRNA-Thr
Source: RNAcentral